AGACUGUGGAUUUAUCUGUUUGCCCAUCAUGGAAUCUCUAGCACUUGCCAUACUGCCUCGUAUGGGGUGCUGGCUGAGCAGACACUACACGCUGGGUACCAGGCCAGCUGCUAAGUGCAGCCUCGAGAAACAAGCAAUUAAUGACCCCGAGUUUCUUGCAGGGGUGAUGAACACGUUCUACAAUUGUGGUGGUGGGUGCACACAAGUGUGUGAAUAUACUCAAAACCACUGAACUGUACACUCUAAGUGGAUGAGUGAAGACCUGGAACAGAUCUCUCCGGACCCACUGAAGUUUGCUGGAAGGUGCCACCUAGUGGAACAUCAGAUGACCUGCUGCUUAGACCAAAAGAACCC
Molecule: long non-coding RNA, 354 nt
Organism: Lontra canadensis (Northern American river otter)
Lineage: Eukaryota; Metazoa; Chordata; Mammalia; Carnivora; Mustelidae
Exons: 3
Source: RefSeq, a predicted model, not a curated record